RNAcentral lists this unclassified non-coding RNA (232 nucleotides) under Melitaea cinxia (Glanville fritillary). RNAcentral's name for it is "misc RNA ENSMCXG00005008856.1". Lineage: Eukaryota; Metazoa; Arthropoda; Insecta; Lepidoptera; Nymphalidae. The record is from RNAcentral.
AAUAUUUUUUUUUAAGGAAUACUUGGGGUGUGAUCUACAAUCGAUACCGAAGCCAAAAAUAUAGUUUUUAGAAUUUUUGUCUGUUUUUCUGUUUGUCUGUAUGUAUGUCCGGGAUAAACUCAAAAAGUACUGCAUGGAUUUACUUCAAAUUUGGCACGAUUAUUAUUAAGUCGGGUCAACAUAUAGGCUACAUAUUAUCACGCUAUCACCUACGGGGAACGAGCAGUGAACC